RNAcentral lists this ribosomal RNA (451 nucleotides) under uncultured bacterium. RNAcentral's name for it is "bacterial SSU rRNA". It matches the Rfam family "Bacterial small subunit ribosomal RNA", at positions 330 to 795 of the family's 1533-position model. The record is from RNAcentral.
UCCAGACUCCUACGGGAGGCAGCAGUGGGGAAUAUUGGGCAAUGGGCGCAAGCCUGACCCAGCAACGCCGCGUGAAGGAAGAAGGCUUUCGGGUUGUAAACUUCUUUUAAGAGGGACGAAGAAAGUGACGGUACCUCAGGAAUAAGCCACGGCUAACUACGUGCCAGCAGCCGCGGUAAUACGUAGGUGGCAAGCGUUAUCCGGAUUUAUUGGGUGUAAAGGGCGUGUAGGCGGGAAAGCAAGACAGAUGUGAAAACUCAGGGCUCAACCCUGAGCCUGCAUUUGAAACUGUUUUUCUUGAGUGCUGGAGAGGCAAUCGGAAUUCCGUGUGUAGCGGUGAAAUGCGUAGAUAUACGGAGGAACACCAGUGGCGAAGGCGGAUUGCUGGACAGCAACUGACGGUCAGGGACGAAAGCGUGGGGAGCGAAUAGGAUUAGAUACCCCCGUAUUA